UACGAAGGGGGCUAGCGUUGCUCGGAAUCACUGGGCGUAAAGGGUGCGUAGGCGGGUCUUUAAGUCAGGGGUGAAAUCCUGGAGCUCAACUCCAGAACUGCCUGUGAUACUGAGGAUCUUGAGUUCGGGAGAGGUGAGUGGAACUGCGAGUGUAGAGGUGAAAUUCGUAGAUAUUCGCAAGAACACCAGUGGCGAAGGCGGCUCACUGGCCCGAUACUGACGCUGAGGCACGAAAGCGUGGGGAGCAAACAGG
This 253-nucleotide ribosomal RNA is filed under the name uncultured bacterium. RNAcentral describes it as "partial 16S ribosomal RNA". It matches the Rfam family "Bacterial small subunit ribosomal RNA", at positions 524 to 776 of the family's 1533-position model. The record is from RNAcentral.